Molecule: long non-coding RNA, 363 nt
Organism: Poecilia latipinna (sailfin molly)
Lineage: Eukaryota; Metazoa; Chordata; Actinopteri; Cyprinodontiformes; Poeciliidae
Exons: 3
Source: RefSeq, a predicted model, not a curated record
CCGAACAAAAUGGCUGUUAAUGUAAGUUCAACACUUGGAGGCGUAGCCAUCACGGACUGAACGGCUUCGUUCACUUCUUCCGCUGCCAUUUCUACGAUUCUUAAAACGCAGAAAGUUGAUGUCAUCGUUCAGGACUUCUCCGCUGAUUGGUCCAGAUGAAAUUGUACCGGAGGAAAUCCAGCACGUUGAAAGACAUUUUGAGAGUCCCUUAGGUCAACCAAAACAUGAAGGAGAAAGAGGGAAGUGCAAGUUAGUAACUGUCGGGGUUGUUCUUUCUGCCCUUCCUGCUGACAAAGACAAAGAAGUUGCUGUAAUGCCUCCUGUCACAUGGCAGCACAGACAACUCUGUCCUCUGUGGCUUUC